AUAUUGGACAAUGGGGGAAACCCUGAUCCAGCCAUGCCGCGUGUGUGAAGAAGGCCUUUUGGUUGUAAAGCACUUUAAGCGAGGAGGAGGCUACCCUGACUAAUAUUCAGGAGUAGUGGACGUUACUCGCAGAAUAAGCACCGGCUAACUCUGUGCUAGCAGCCGCGGUAAUACAGAGGGUGCGAGCGUUAAUCGGAAUUACUGGGCGUAAAGCGCGCGUAGGCGGUUUAUUAAGUCGGAUGUGAAAUCCCUGAGCUUAACUUAGGAAUUGCAUUCGAUACUGGUAAGCUAGAGUAUGGGAGAGGAAGGUAGAAUUCCAGGUGUAGCGGUGAAAUGCGUAGAGAUCUGGAGGAAUACCGAUGGCGAAGGCAGCCUUCUGGCCUAAUACCGACGCUGAGGUGCGAAAGCAUGGGGAGCAAAC
RNAcentral lists this ribosomal RNA (421 nucleotides) under uncultured bacterium. Its description in RNAcentral is "bacterial SSU rRNA". It matches the Rfam family "Bacterial small subunit ribosomal RNA", at positions 361 to 773 of the family's 1533-position model. The record is from RNAcentral.